Molecule: ribosomal RNA, 496 nt
Filed under: uncultured bacterium
Lineage: Bacteria
Description: partial 16S ribosomal RNA
Rfam family: Bacterial small subunit ribosomal RNA
Source: RNAcentral
GACGAACGCUGGCGGCGUGCCUAAUACAUGCAAGUCGAGCGAAAGGACGCGACGCUUGCUUCUUUGUCGUUAGCGGCGCACGGGAGAGUAACAUGUGGAUCACCCCCCUAUCAGUCUGGUAAAUUCCGGGAACUCGGAGCUAAUACCGGUUAAUAUUUUGACUCCCAUGGUUCAAAUGUAAAAGUCGGUCUUGCUGUCAUUUACUCAUGGCUUCGCGCUGCAUUAGCUAGUUGGUAAGGUAACGGCUUAUCAAGGCAGCGAUGCGUAGCCGACCUGAGAGGGUGGUCGGCCACACUGGAGCUGGGACACGGUCCAGGCUCCUACGGGAGGCAGCAGUAGGGAAUGUUCCGCAGUAGGCGGAAACCUUGCAGAGCAGCGCCGCGUGUGUUAUGGAGAUCUUCGGAUCGUGAAGCUCUGUUAUGAGGGGUGAACAGAUGUGGAAGUUGCUGAACAGAGCUUGACGGUACCUGGUCAAGAAGCCACGGCUAACUACGUG